AACCAACCGCAGGGGAGCUCAGAGGCUGAGAGCCCUUCUUCUGAAGGGCAACCCUUUGAACCUGAACUCGGUAAUGCGAGCGUAGGGAAGCGGUUCGCAAAAAGAC
This 106-nucleotide non-coding RNA is filed under the name Chloroflexota bacterium. RNAcentral's name for it is "Chloroflexi bacterium TPP sequence". It matches the Rfam family "TPP riboswitch aptamer (THI element)". From Rfam's summary of the family: Vitamin B(1) in its active form thiamin pyrophosphate (TPP) is an essential coenzyme that is synthesised by coupling of pyrimidine and thiazole moieties in bacteria. The record is from RNAcentral. Lineage: Bacteria; Bacillati; Chloroflexota.